Molecule: ribosomal RNA, 492 nt
Filed under: uncultured bacterium
Lineage: Bacteria
Description: partial 16S ribosomal RNA
Rfam family: Bacterial small subunit ribosomal RNA
Source: RNAcentral
AGUGAACGCUGGCGGUAGGCCUAACACAUGCAAGUCGAACGGCAGCACAGUAAGAGCUUGCUCUUACGGGUGGCGAGUGGCGGACGGGUGAGGAAUACAUCGGAAUCUACUUUUUCGUGGGGGAUAAGGUAGGGAAACUUAGGCUAAUACCGCAUACGACCUACGGGGGAAAGCAGGGGAUCUUCGGACCUGGGGCGAUUGAAUGAGCCGAUGUCGGAUUAGCUAGUUGGCGGGGUAAAGGCCCACCAAGGCGACGAUCCGUAGCUGGUCUGAGAGGAUGAUCAGCCACACUGGAACUGAGACACGGUCCAGACUCCUACGGGAGGCAGCAGUGGGGAAUAUUGGACAAUGGGCGCAAGCCUGAUCCAGCCAUACCGCGUGGGUGAAGAAGGCCUUCGGGUUGUAAAGCCCUUUUGUUGGGAAAGAAAAGCAGCAGGUUAAUACCCCGCUGUUCUGACGGUACCCAAAGAAUAAGCACCGGCUAACUUCGUG